UUACGGCCAUAUCACGUUGAAACAUCGGUUCCCGUACGAUCACCGAAGUUAAGCAACGACGAGCCUGGCACGUACCUAGAAAUGUAAUAACUUGGGAAUUCCAGGUAUU
Molecule: non-coding RNA, 109 nt
Organism: Acanthosepion pharaonis
Lineage: Eukaryota; Metazoa; Mollusca; Cephalopoda; Sepiida; Sepiidae
Source: the annotation of a GenBank genome assembly